CCUGGCUCAGAAUGAACGUUGGCGGCGUGGAUUAGGCAUGCAAGUCGAGCGCUCGUAGCAAGUACGGGAGCGGCGAACGGCGUAGGACAACAUAGGAACGUACCCUCUGGCCGGGGAUAGCUACGGGAAACUGUAGGUAAUACCCGAUGAUCUCUGCGGAGCAAAGGUGUGAUUCCGCCGGGGGAGCGGCUUAUGCGAUAUUAGCUAGUUGGUGGGGUAAUGGCCCACCAAGGCGAAGAUGUCGUAGGGGGUGUGAGAGCAUCGGCCCCCACGACCGGAACUGAGACACUGUCCGGACACCUACGGGUGGCUGCAGUCGAGAAUCUUCCGCAAUGGACGAAAGUCUGACGGAGCGACGCCGCGUGCGGGAUGAAGGCCCUUGGGUUGUAAACCGCUUUCGGGGGGGAUGAAAUCUCUAAGGGUACUCCCUCAGAGUUGACAGAGCCCCAAAAGAAGCACGGGCUAAGUACGUGCCAGCAGCCGCGGUAACACGUACUGUGCGAACGUUAUUCGGAAUCACUGGGC
Molecule: ribosomal RNA, 525 nt
Filed under: uncultured bacterium
Lineage: Bacteria
Description: bacterial SSU rRNA
Rfam family: Bacterial small subunit ribosomal RNA
Source: RNAcentral